This 429-nucleotide ribosomal RNA is filed under the name Fusobacteriota bacterium. RNAcentral describes it as "Fusobacteria bacterium partial 16S ribosomal RNA". It matches the Rfam family "Bacterial small subunit ribosomal RNA", at positions 355 to 776 of the family's 1533-position model. The record is from RNAcentral. Lineage: Bacteria; Fusobacteriati; Fusobacteriota.
UGGGGAAUAUUGCGCAAUGGGCGAAAGCCUGACGCAGCGACGCCGCGUGAGGGAUGAUGGUUUUCGGAUCGUAAACCUCUGUCAGAAGGGAAGACACCGCACUGUGCUAAUCAGCAGUGCCUUGACGGUACCUUCAAAGGAAGCACCGGCUAACUCCGUGCCAGCAGCCGCGGUAAUACGGAGGGUGCAAGCGUUAAUCGGAAUUACUGGGCGUAAAGCGCACGUAGGCUGCUUUGUAAGUCAGGGGUGAAAACCCACGGCUCAACCGUGGAACUUCCGUUGAUUCUUCUUAGCUUAAAUCCCGGAGAGGGGGGAGGAAUUCCAGGUGUAGGAGUGACAUCCGUAGAUAUCUGGGGAAACAUCAGUGGGGAAGGCGGCUACAUGGUACGGUAUAGACGCUGAGGUGAGAAAGCGUUGGGAGCAAACAGG